This 440-nucleotide ribosomal RNA is filed under the name uncultured bacterium. RNAcentral describes it as "bacterial SSU rRNA". It matches the Rfam family "Bacterial small subunit ribosomal RNA", at positions 8 to 450 of the family's 1533-position model. The record is from RNAcentral.
AGAGUUUGAUCCUGGCUCAGAUUGAACGCUGGCGGCAUGCCUUACACAUGCAAGUCGAACGGCAGCACGGGGGCAACCCUGGUGGCGAGUGGCGAACGGGUGAGUAAUACAUCGGAACGUGUCCUGUAGUGGGGGAUAGCCCGGCGAAAGCCGGAUUAAUACCGCAUACGAUCUACGGAAGAAAGCGGGGGAUCGCAAGACCUCGCGCUAUAGGGGCGGCCGAUGGCAGAUUAGCUAGUUGGUGGGGUAAAGGCCUACCAAGGCGACGAUCUGUAGCUGGUCUGAGAGGACGACCAGCCACACUGGGACUGAGACACGGCCCAGACUCCUACGGGAGGCAGCAGUGGGGAAUUUUGGACAAUGGGGGAAACCCUGAUCCAGCAAUGCCGCGUGUGUGAAGAAGGCCUUCGGGUUGUAAAGCACUUUUGUCCGGAAAGAAU